RNAcentral lists this unclassified non-coding RNA (196 nucleotides) under plant metagenome. RNAcentral's name for it is "partial contains small subunit ribosomal RNA, internal transcribed spacer 1, and 5.8S ribosomal RNA". The record is from RNAcentral.
UCUCCGUUGGUGAACCAGCGGAGGGAUCAUACCGAGUGCAAACUCAUAACCCUUUGUGAACCUAUACCUGUUGCUUCGGCGGCUCGCUCUCGGGCGAGCCCGCCGGUAAUAUCAGUAUCUCUGUUUGAACCCGACGAUACUUCUAAGUGUUCUUAGCGAACAGUUAAAACUUUUAACAACGGAUCUCUUGGCUCUA